AACGAACGUUGGCGGCGUGGAUUAGGCAUGCAAGUCGAGCGAAUCCCAGCUUUGUAGUAAUACAGAGUUGGGGGAAGCGGCGCAAGGGGCAGUAAUGCAUGGAUAACCUACCCUGGGGACGGGGAUAGCUUUUCUAACGAGAAGGUAAUACCCGAUGAUGUGGCCGGUGGAUGCACUGGUUACCAAAUGAAUUUCGCCCUGGGAGGGGUUCAUGUGGUAUUAGCUUGUUGGUGAGGUAACGGCUCACCAAGGCAAAGAUGCCUAGCUGGUGUGAGAGCAUGACCAGCGCCACUGGGACUGAGACACUGCCCAGACUCCUACGGGAGGCUGCAGUCGAGGAUCUUCCACAAUGGGCGAAAGCCUGAUGGAGCGACGCCGCGUGUGCGAUGAAGGCCUUCGGGUUGUAAAGCACUGUCGAGGGGGAGAAAAGGAAACUUGAUCGACCCCUGGAGGAAGGACGGGCUAAGUUCGUGCCAGCAGCCGCGGUA
RNAcentral lists this ribosomal RNA (488 nucleotides) under uncultured bacterium. RNAcentral describes it as "bacterial SSU rRNA". It matches the Rfam family "Bacterial small subunit ribosomal RNA", at positions 29 to 522 of the family's 1533-position model. The record is from RNAcentral.